Long non-coding RNA from Aethalodelphis obliquidens (Pacific white-sided dolphin), 286 nucleotides. RefSeq lists it as uncharacterized. The record is from RefSeq and is a predicted model, not a curated record. NCBI's taxonomy places the organism in Eukaryota, Metazoa, Chordata, Mammalia, Artiodactyla, Delphinidae. The transcript is spliced from 3 exons.
UCAAUUCUGUCCAGUUGCUGACAAUGGUGCCAGUACUGGAGGCUGAGAUUGUACUGUUUUAUUGCUCUACACAAACAAAGUGCUAAUCUGGACUUAAGGCUCCAAGAAAGACUCUACAGAUGGCACCAUGGCAGAGAAGCUCUGGCAAGAAUAUUUGCAAAAUGAGAUAAGAAAACUGAGUCCAGAGAAACUGAGUGAGCUGUCUCCUCAAGAUCACAAAGCAGAACCGAGAACCAAACUCCUAUCAAAUGAUUCCAAAUCCCAUUGUCUGGCUGCAGCUCACAGG